Molecule: ribosomal RNA, 253 nt
Filed under: uncultured bacterium
Lineage: Bacteria
Description: partial 16S ribosomal RNA
Rfam family: Bacterial small subunit ribosomal RNA
Source: RNAcentral
GACGUAGGGGGCCAGCGUUGUUCGGAAUUACUGGGCGUAAAGAGCGCGCAGGCGGUCGUUCAAGUCGCGUGUGAAAGCCCCCGGCUCAACUGGGGAGGGUCACGCGAUACUGAUCGACUCGAAGGCAGGAGAGGGAAGUGGAAUUCCCGGUGUAGUGGUGAAAUGCGUAGAUAUCGGGAGGAACACCAGUGGCGAAGGCGACUUCCUGGCCUGUUCUUGACGCUGAGGCGCGAAAGCUAGGGGAGCAAACGGG